UUGUUUGCUGCUGUGGCAUCAUCAAGAUUCACAUCGCCAGAUGGACGGUGGUGAUUCACCCUCCCCAAAGUUCUCUGAUGAAAAUGAGAAUCUUGAUGAUGCUGCAUCGGAAAUCAA
Molecule: non-coding RNA, 117 nt
Organism: Brassica napus (rape)
Lineage: Eukaryota; Viridiplantae; Streptophyta; Magnoliopsida; Brassicales; Brassicaceae
Source: Rfam